This 433-nucleotide ribosomal RNA is filed under the name uncultured bacterium. RNAcentral's name for it is "partial 16S ribosomal RNA". It matches the Rfam family "Bacterial small subunit ribosomal RNA", at positions 29 to 507 of the family's 1533-position model. The record is from RNAcentral.
AACGAACGCUGGCGGCAUGCCUAACACAUGCAAGUCGAACGAGACCUUCGGGUCUAGUGGCGCACGGGUGCGUAACGCGUGGGAACCUGCCCUUAGGUUCGGAAUAACUCCCCGAAAGGGGUGCUAAUACCGGAUAAUGUCUUCGGACCAAAGAUUUAUCGCCUUUGGAUGGGCCCGCGUUGGAUUAGCUAGUUGGUAGGGUAAAAGCUUACCAAGGCGACGAUCCAUAGCUGGUCUGAGAGGAUGAUCAGCCACACUGGGACUGAGACACGGCCCAGACUCCUACGGGAGGCAGCAGUGGGGAAUAUUGGACAAUGGGCGAAAGCCUGAUCCAGCCAUGCCGCGUGAGUGAUGAAGGCCUUAGGAUUGUAAAGCUCUUUUACCCGGGAUGAUAAUGACGGUACCGGGAGAAUAAGCUCCGGCUAACUCCGUG